CUUCGGUCAAAGCCUUCGGGCGCCAAAGGAUGAGCCUGCGUCGCAUUACCUAGUUGGUGGGGUAAAAGCCUACCAAGGGGACGAUGCGUAGCUGGUCUGAGAGGAUGAUCAGCCACACUGGGACUGAGACACGGCCCAGACUCCUACGGGAGGCAGCAGUGGGGAAUAUUGCGCAAUGGGCGAAAGCCUGACGCAGCUACGCCGCGUGGGUGAUGAAGGCCUUCGGGUUGUAAAGCCCUGUCGGGAGGGACGAAGUUCUGACGGUACCUCCCAAGAAAGCACCGGCUAACUCCGUGCCAGCAGCCGCGGUAA
Molecule: ribosomal RNA, 312 nt
Filed under: uncultured delta proteobacterium
Lineage: Bacteria; Deltaproteobacteria
Description: bacterial SSU rRNA
Rfam family: Bacterial small subunit ribosomal RNA
Source: RNAcentral